AUACGUAGGGUGCAAGCGUUAAUCGGAAUUACUGGGCGUAAAGAGUACGUAGGCGGUUCUGUAAGCGUGAGGUGAAAGCCCGGGGCUUAACUCCGGUAAGCCUUUCGAACUGCAGGACUUGAGUGCUGGAGGGGAAAGUGGAAUUCCUAGUGUAGCGGUGAAAUGCGUAGAUAUUAGGAGGAACACCAGUGGCGAAGGCGACUUUCUGAACAGUAACUGACGCUGAGGUACGAAAGCGUGGGGAGCAAACAGGAUUAGAUACCCUGGUAGUCCACGCCGUAAACGAUGAGCACUAGGUGUCGGGGCAGCAAUGUUUCGGUGCCGCAGUUAACGCAAUAAGUGCUCCGCCUGGGGAGUACGCACGCAAGUGUGAAACUUAAAGGAAUUGACGGGG
RNAcentral lists this ribosomal RNA (394 nucleotides) under uncultured bacterium. Its description in RNAcentral is "partial 16S ribosomal RNA". It matches the Rfam family "Bacterial small subunit ribosomal RNA", at positions 523 to 918 of the family's 1533-position model. The record is from RNAcentral.